Molecule: long non-coding RNA, 2329 nt
Filed under: Cimex lectularius (bed bug)
Lineage: Eukaryota; Metazoa; Arthropoda; Insecta; Hemiptera; Cimicidae
Description: uncharacterized LOC106672097
Source: RNAcentral
AUCUUCAAUAGUUAAUUUGUUUUACAGUAGAUAUGACCUUUUUAGUAACGGGGAAAUGCCAACAUACGUCUACCAAACCACACCUGCCGGGAAUUGGGUACACCAGGGUGUCGAUAACUACCAGAUCGACGUAAUUUAUCAAAUUUAUCCUGUUUUAAUGGUGUAUCUGUGUUUUUCCGUCUCCUUUUAGUCGGCAACGAAAUGCGUAAAACGUAUCUGAAACCUAAGUGACCAAAACAAAGAACAUAAGUCGGCCAGGAUAAACUUAGACAUCAGAAAUGUUAACAACAGAUCAACGAUCGGAAGUUCGAUGUGCCAUUGGGCCCGCUUGUUCUCGCUGUUUCUGUGAAACUCACGACAAUAAUGUAAAAGAAUCAAUGUAAAUACUAUACUGCUAAUAACCCCUUCUAUUCGCUUCUACGUGUGUACGCCUUUUGUAUGCGUUUAUCGAAACGCGCCUGACGGUCCAAGACAGUAAAACAGAAACGAUUUAACAAAACUCAAAAAGAAAUCCGAAUAAUUUAAGAAUUCUAUGACCAAAAUGAUCGUUCCCAAGUAUAAGUUGGCAAUGUUAUUUUCUGUUAAUUAAGAGAGCAGUGGAGCUGUUACUUGAACUUCAAGAUGAAAGUUUGCACGAGGACAAGAUAGAUGAAUAGGCACAACCGGUCGGUUAUUUAUGAAGCGUCCUCGUCGGAUCUCGAUAAGAGCUAGAGAUAAACGACUCAUUUAAAUCAGCUUUGAAAUUCAUGACAGAUUUUGUUAAAAAAAUUACGAUUACAUUCCAGGCGAUCUGGAAAUGAAGGAAGAGAAAAUCACACCAAAAUCGAUUAUUUCAAACGGACCUCGGGCAAGAGUUUCCGCUGAAAAACCACUUCCGGCCUGCGACGUUGAAAAAAUCCCAGAUGUUUUAUAAACAACAAAACAAAAUUAGUACGUUUUGAAAACCGGUAAUUUGUAAAUCCGCCCCCUGGUCCAGGUGAGACACGACGCCCUCCUCUUGUCAUUUAUGUUUCUGAAACGGACAUUUCUAGAAAGGGUGGCUCGGCGCUUUUAUAGUUCAAUGUUCCAUUUGUUCCGAGGGUUGUUUCACAAACCGGUUAAGUAAUGAGGACUUUAAUUUCUGCUUCUAUCCCGACGAACGACCGCUUGAACAUUAAUAACACUUGUACAACUUGUGAAGAUUUGAAUUUAAUUUAUUAAACAAUCCAACAAGAAACAACAGAAAGAAUAAUGAUAAGUGAUGUGGCAAAUUGAAUUUCAUUGCCGGAUGAUUAAGAAGAUAGGCGCGUCAUAACUGUCAAAUUUAUAAGCAAUUUUCAAAAUUGUUCAUCAACUGUAAUAGACAGACGAGUUAACUCUUGGUUAUGAAAAACUAGAAUAAGGAUGGAAAUUAAAAUACGAGGCUAGACGGACCAGGGACUGCACUUUUCUAAUACCUGCAUGAAAAUUAUACCAUAAAGUACUUGCCCAUUGGAUAAUAAAACCACACCCAGUGCCCACAAGGAGGAAAGAUUAAUGCCUAAUCUUUGUUGACAAGGACCAGAUGAAUUUUGACAGACCAAACCAGCAAUGAUAGACAGGCCUUGACGAUGGGAAAUAUUCAUUGAUUGGCCUGUGCGUUUCUCCGCGUGUACGUCCUUUUUAUACAUAACAAAAUACUGAAACGAACAAGUCCAUAAAUCAAGAAUAGUAUUAUGUAUGAGAUUUCUUUGGGAAGUUGUAUUUGAAAAUUAUUGUUCAACUACUCUUUUUGCCAAGAUCAAGGGACACUGAUUUCUUCAGGAGUUGGUCUGUGCGUUUCUCCGUGUUUAUGUCCUUUCGUCUAUUACAACUGUCAAUUUUUAUUUUUAUAGAUGAAUGCUUAAUCUUUGUUGACAUGGACCAGAUGAACAUCCGAAACCAAAUCAGCAAAGAAUUCAGUGAUUGGCCUAUGCGUUUCUCCGUGUGUUCGUCAGUUUUAUAGACAAUAAAAUACUGAAACGAACAAGUCCAUAUAUUCAGGAAUUAUGUUAAGUGUGAGAUUUCUUUGGGCAGUCGUAUUUGAAAAUUUUUAUACAACUACCCUAUUUUUGGAACGAUCAGAGGACACGGACGUCUUCAGGAGUGGUCUAUGCCUUUCUCCGUGUUUACGUCUGUUUAUAAAUCACGAAAUACAUCUGGCAGACCAUCAAGGCUAGGAUCAGAAACGUCCAAACUGAGUAAUGCUGUAAUUUUCAUAACUUCAGUGAUAGGCCUAGGCUUUUUUUCCCGUGUUUACGUCUUGCAGAUGGCAAAAUUCCAAAAAGAAACAUGUGUUAUCGAGAAUAGUAUUAAGUGUGUGGUGAUUAGU